ACAUAGCCACAAGUUAACAUUUGUGGUCUAACCUGCCCAAUGUGCAAUUAGAAAGAUGAAUGGCCGCGGUACCCUGACCGUGCUAAGGUAGCGUAAUCAGUUGGCUUUUAAAUGGAGUCAGGAAUGAAUGGAAUAACCGGGUUUAGCUGUCUCCUUUCUAAUCAGUUGAAUUUACUGUUCAAGUGAAAAAGCUUGAAUAAAGAAAAGGGACGAGAAGACCCUUAGAAUUUUUUUUAGUGGGAAAUUUUUUUCUAAUGAUUUUGUUGGGGCGACAUGGAAAUAUAUAAAAACUUUCCUUUGAUACUUGCCGAUUUUGUUAAGUUAGGAUAAAUUACCUGAGGGAUAACAGCAUAAUUCUACAGAUGAGUUUGUGACCUCGAUGUUGGACUAGGGAACUAGCAAGCUAGCCGUUUGUUGUGUGGGUUCUGUUCGAACUUUAA
This 440-nucleotide ribosomal RNA is filed under the name Dendronotus primorjensis. RNAcentral describes it as "partial 16S ribosomal RNA". It matches the Rfam family "Archaeal large subunit ribosomal RNA", at positions 1905 to 2660 of the family's 2987-position model. Lineage: Eukaryota; Metazoa; Mollusca; Gastropoda; Nudibranchia; Dendronotidae. The record is from RNAcentral.